RNAcentral lists this long non-coding RNA (1676 nucleotides) under Panicum hallii. Its description in RNAcentral is "long non-coding RNA (PHAL_LNC000084)". The record is from RNAcentral. Lineage: Eukaryota; Viridiplantae; Streptophyta; Magnoliopsida; Poales; Poaceae.
CUCGCUUGUUCUUUAAAUUCAUCAGUCCGCGUUGUUCGUCUUCACCACCUCUCCCUUUCUUCUCGGACGCCACCGCUCCGUCGCAGACGCGAGAAAACUAGUGGCCAUGGAUCCCCCGUCCGCUCAGGUGAUGUCGGCGACCGACGACUUCCAGGACAAGACCGUCGACGAGUGGUAAGGGGUUGCACUGCUUGCUCAAAUCCGUGCUCGUCUUGUUCGCGUCCAUCCUUCUCUGCUUUUCUCCCUGAAUCCACCAUCCGCCGUAUGCUUGGGCUGCAGUUGCUCGUGCUGCUACGACUGCUGCUCCAGCAUCCUCGACUUCCUGUGCUGCUCGUCCUGAUCGACCGGUGCGGGCUCCUCCCCGGCCCUGCCUCGGCGUUGCUCGCUGGUCUUGGGUUCUAGAUGUCCUGGAGUUCUUGGAUUCUUUAGGUCCUUCGGUGAUGAUACUUGUAAGCUCGACUCUGUUCAUCAACAUCAGUAAGGAAGCUUGGAUCGAUUUCCUUUUUAGAAAUUUUAAUGUUCGUGUUUGCAGAUCGAUUAGCUGUUCGGAGCUCGUACAGCAUCUCCGAAAGAAAUAGCUCUCAAAUCAGACUCUCUGCCUCUCUCUCUCUACCUCUCUCUGCAUUAAUUUUUUAACGUCAAUUCUAGCAGUGAUCUCUAAAUCUCACUUUAAAUUAAAAAGGUGAGACUCAUUUAUCAGUUGACAGAGGCAGAGACGCUCCAGAAAUAGAGGGUGGAGGAAGAGAUUUGAAGAUCUUUCCAAAAUAGCAGAUUUAGUAGAGGACGUGUAGGAGUGUAAUUUUUUUAUUCCAGCUUCAAAUUUGACACGAGGGUUUACUGAGAGGGUCUAGUUGCUCUUAGCAAAAGUUUUUUUUAUAAAAAAUAAGUUCUUACAUUUGGGGUGUGUUCGUUUCCUACCCUCUAAAUUUUAGACCCAUCACAUCAAAAAGAAUCUUGUCAUUUAGAAGUAUUAAAUAAAGUCUAAUUAUAAAACUUUUUGCACAGAUGGAUGCUAAUUCACGAGACAAAUUUAAUGAGCCUAAUUAAUCCAUAAUUUGCCACAGUGAUGCUACAGUAAUCAUCCGCUAAUCAUGGAUUAAUAUACCUCAUUAGAUUCGUCUCGCGAAUUAGCCCUGGGGUUCUGCAAUUAGUUUUAUAAUUAGACUUUAUUUAAUACUUCUAAAUGAUAAGAUUCUCUAUGAUGUGACUCCUCCAAACUUUAGAGCAGGAAACAAACACACCUUGGUUCUGCGUUUUCUUGUGCACUGACCACUGAACCAGAAGUCCAUGACGUGAUGUGAAUGUGACGUGUGAUGGUCAAUAUGGGCAUCCUGCAUCCUGGUGUUUGGCAGUUUGCUACCGUGAGGUGGAAAGCUGAAUUGGACCACACCAUGACACCACGCCCUCCUUUUCCGUUCGCAUUUUCUGUUUCGCUGGGACGUCGACUGCAGGGCGACAACGAGACCUUUAAGGCAGCUCAUUUAGCUGCAUUUUUCCGUUUCUAGUUGUGAUGAUGAUACCGAUUUGGAUUUUUGUAUUAUUAUAACACUACUAAUGACAUGAUACCAAAAUGAUCGGUUUAGUAAGAGUUCGUUUGUGCCAAUAAUAUAGUAGCAAUACGAUUAUCAGCUAACCUACAUAACAAUGGACUAUUGAUAGCUGUAACUCGCACUGGC